Molecule: ribosomal RNA, 478 nt
Filed under: uncultured bacterium
Lineage: Bacteria
Description: partial 16S ribosomal RNA
Rfam family: Bacterial small subunit ribosomal RNA
Source: RNAcentral
GACGAACGCUGGCGGCGUGCUUAACACAUGCAAGUCGAACGGUAAGGCCCUUCGGGGUACACGAGUGGCGAACGGGUGAGUAACACGUGGGUGAUCUGCCCUGCACUUCGGGAUAAGCCUGGGAAACUGGGUCUAAUACCGGAUAGGACCACUGCCUGCAUGGGUGGUGGUGGAAAGCUUUUGCGGUGUGGGAUGGGCCCGCGGCCUAUCAGCUUGUUGGUGGGGUGAUGGCCUCCCAAGGCGACGACGGGUAGCCGGCCUGAGAGGGGAACCAGCCACACUGGGACUGAGAUACGGCCCAGACGCCUACGGGAGGCAGCGGUGGGGAAUACUGCACAAUGGGCGCGAGCCUGAUGCAGCGACGCCGCGUGAGGGAUGACGGCCUUCGGGUUGUAAACCUCUUUCAGCACCGACGAAGCGCAAGUGACGGUAGGUGCAGAAGAAGGACCGGCCAACUACGUGCCAGCCGCCGCCGUAA